GAUGAACGCUGGCGGCGUGCCUAAUACAUGCAAGUCGAGCGAACAGAUGAGGAGCUUGCUCCUCUGACGUUAGCGGCGGACGGGUGAGUAACACAUGGAUAAACUACCUAUUAGACUGGGAUAACUUCGGGAAAACGGAGCUAAUACCGGCUAAUAUAUUGCACCGCAUGGUUCAAUAGUGAAAGACGGUUUUGCUGUCAAUUAUAGAUGGAUCCGCGCCGCAUUAGCUAGUUGGUAAGGUAACGGCUUACCAAGGCAACGAUGCGUAGCCGACCUGAGAGGGUGUUCGGCCACACAGGAACUGAGACACGGUCCAGACUCCUACUGGAGCCAGCAGUAGACACUCUUCUGUAAUGGUCGAGAGUUUGACGCAGGAACGGCGCGGGCGUGAAGAAAGUGUGCGAGCUGGUAAAAGGUAUUACUAGGGAAGAAAAAAUAUGGAAUUAAGUGUUGUUAGAUUGACGGUACCUAGUAAGAAUGCCACGGAUGACUUUGGG
This 497-nucleotide ribosomal RNA is filed under the name uncultured bacterium. RNAcentral describes it as "partial 16S ribosomal RNA". It matches the Rfam family "Bacterial small subunit ribosomal RNA", at positions 28 to 507 of the family's 1533-position model. The record is from RNAcentral.